RNAcentral lists this ribosomal RNA (489 nucleotides) under uncultured bacterium. RNAcentral describes it as "partial 16S ribosomal RNA". It matches the Rfam family "Bacterial small subunit ribosomal RNA", at positions 28 to 506 of the family's 1533-position model. The record is from RNAcentral.
GAUGAACGCUAGCUACAGGCUUAACACAUGCAAGUCGAGGGGCAGCAUGGUCUUAGCUUGCUAAGGCCGAUGGCGACCGGCGCACGGGUGAGUAACACGUAUCCAACCUGCCGUCUACUCUUGGACAGCCUUCUGAAAGGAAGAUUAAUACAAGAUGGCAUCAUGAGUCCGCAUGUUCACAUGAUUAAAGGUAUUCCGGUAGACGAUGGGGAUGCGUUCCAUUAGAUAGUAGGCGGGGUAACGGCCCACCUAGUCUUCGAUGGAUAGGGGUUCUGAGAGGAAGGUCCCCCCCAUUGGAACUGAGACACGGUCCCAACUCCUACGGGAGGCCGCAGUGGGGAAUAUUGGUCAAUGGGCGCAGGCCUGAACCAGCCAAGUAGCGUGAAGGAUGCCUGCCCUUUGGGUUGUAAACUUCUUUUAUAAAGGAAUAAAGUCGGGUAUGUAUACCCGUUUGCAUGUACUUUAUGAAUAAGGAUCGGCUAACUCCGU